GCUUGGCCCUAAAUCCAGAUACUCACUACCACUAGAGUAUCCGCCUGAGAACUACGAGCACAAACGCUUAAAACUCUAAGGACUUGGCGGUGCCCCAAACCCACCUAGAGGAGCCUGUUCUGUAAUCGAUAACCCACGAUAUACCCAACCCCUUCUCGCCCAAAGCAGCCUACAUACCGCCGUCCCCAGCUCACCUCCCCUGAGAGCCUAAACAGUGAGCACAACAACACCGCUAAUAAGACAGGUCAAGGUAUAGCCCAUGAAGGGGCAGAAAUGGGCUACAUUUUCUAAAAUAGAAAACGAAAAGAGGUUUGAAACAACCUCCAGAAGGAGGAUUUAGCAGUAAAGGGCGGCAAGAAUACCCCCUUAAACCUGGCCCUGGAG
RNAcentral lists this ribosomal RNA (384 nucleotides) under Porphyrio hochstetteri (South Island takahe). Its description in RNAcentral is "partial 12S small subunit ribosomal RNA". It matches the Rfam family "Bacterial small subunit ribosomal RNA", at positions 794 to 1379 of the family's 1533-position model. The record is from RNAcentral. Lineage: Eukaryota; Metazoa; Chordata; Aves; Gruiformes; Rallidae.